GCCGGGGUGCCCGAGCGGUCUAAGGGGCUGGCCUGGAGAAUAUUCCCCGGUCAGCCAGUGCCCCUUCCGGGGCGCGCGGGUUCGAAUCCCGCCCCCGGCG
Molecule: transfer RNA, 100 nt
Filed under: Thermosphaera aggregans DSM 11486
Lineage: Archaea; Thermoproteati; Thermoproteota; Thermoprotei; Desulfurococcales; Desulfurococcaceae
Rfam family: tRNA
About the family: Transfer RNA (tRNA) molecules are approximately 80 nucleotides in length.
Source: Rfam by way of RNAcentral